GGCAGGAACAUUCAAGACAACCCCAGUGACUGCACAGACAACUGUUACAGAUGUGAUAAGUGCUGCUUUAGAAAAAUUUGGAUUGAAAGGUGCCAAUGAAAAUGACUUUUCCCUGACUGAAGUACACCUAACUCAAGGAGUCCAUGAACGAAGAAUGGAACACAAUGACUGUCCGUGGAAAUCCUUGACGGAUAUUAGAAAA
Long non-coding RNA from Stylophora pistillata, 202 nucleotides. The record is from RefSeq and is a predicted model, not a curated record. Lineage: Eukaryota; Metazoa; Cnidaria; Anthozoa; Scleractinia; Pocilloporidae.